AAUGAUAUUGACUUCUCUACCAAUAAUUAAAGCAAAAUUCUCUCAUCAUGUGUUUCUUACUUCACAUCUGUGUACGUGAUGAAGUGGAAAUAUUUCUUUUCAAGUAAAGAGUUGAGAGAGCCUCUACAGUUUGAUGGGUGAGUUGUAUGCUAUCCAAAUAUGAAGACCAUUCGUGAUUAUUUGGCAUGGAGGCAAGCGGACUGUAAGCUUUUUGAACUAUAG
RNAcentral lists this ribosomal RNA (222 nucleotides) under Triticum aestivum (bread wheat). RNAcentral's name for it is "partial small subunit ribosomal RNA". Lineage: Eukaryota; Viridiplantae; Streptophyta; Magnoliopsida; Poales; Poaceae. The record is from RNAcentral.